UACGUAGGUGGCAAGCGUUGUCCGGAAUUAUUGGGCGUAAAGAGCUCGUAGGCGGUCUGUCGCGUCGAUCGUGAAAACUUGGGGCUUAACCCUGAGCUUGCGGUCGAUACGGGCAUGACUGGAGUUCGGCAGGGGAGACUGGAAUUCCUGGUGUAGCGGUGAAAUGCGCAGAUAUCAGGAGGAACACCGGUGGCGAAGGCGGGUCUCUGGGCCGAUACUGACGCUGAGGAGCGAAAGCGUGGGGAGCGAACAGG
Molecule: ribosomal RNA, 254 nt
Filed under: uncultured bacterium
Lineage: Bacteria
Description: partial 16S ribosomal RNA
Rfam family: Bacterial small subunit ribosomal RNA
Source: RNAcentral